RNAcentral lists this ribosomal RNA (479 nucleotides) under uncultured bacterium. RNAcentral's name for it is "bacterial SSU rRNA". It matches the Rfam family "Bacterial small subunit ribosomal RNA", at positions 364 to 833 of the family's 1533-position model. The record is from RNAcentral.
UUUCGCAAUGCCCGAAAGGGUGACGAAGCGACGCCGCGUGGGUGAGGAAGGCCCUCGGGUUGUAAAGCCCUGUCAGGAGUUAAGAAAUGCAGGUGUGCUGAUAUCACACCUGCUUGACGAAGGCUCCAAAGGAAGUCACGGCUAACUCUGUGCCAGCAGCCGCGGUAAUACAGAGGUGGCAAGCGUUGUUCGGAAUUAUUGGGCGUAAAGAGCACGUAGGUGGAUUUGUAAGUCAGAUGUGAAAGCCUUCUGUUCAACGGAAGAAUUGCAUCUGAAACUACAAACCUUGAGUGUAGGAGGGGAGAAUGGAACUUCUGGUGGAGCGGUGAAAUGCGUAGAUAUCAGAAGGAACGCCGGCGGCGAAAGCGAUUCUCUGGCCUAUUACUGACACUCAGUGUGCGAAAGCUAGGGGAGCAAACGGGAUUAGAUACCCCGGUAGUCCUAGCCGUAAACGAUGGGCACUAAGUAGAGGGGUUUUA